AACGCGAAGAACCUUACCAGUCCUUGACAUGUCCACUAUGGGUUUGAGAGAUCAGAUCCUUCACUUCGGGUGGGUGGAACACAGGUGCUGCAUGGCUGUCGUCAGCUCGUGUCGUGAGAUGUUGGGUUAAGUCCCGCAACGAGCGCAACCCUCAUCUUCAGUUGCCCCCGGGUCAGGCCGGGCACUCUGAAGAAACCGCCGGUGACAAGCCGGAGGAAGGCGGGGAUGACGUCAAGUCCUCAUGGCCCUUACGGACUGGGCUACACACGUACUACAAUGGUGGUGACAAUGGGCAGCGAAAGCGCAAGCUGGAGCCAAUCCCCAAAAACCAUCUCAGUUCAGAUUGCACUCUGCAACUCGAGUGCAUGAAGUUGGAAUCGCUAGUAAUCGCAGAUCAGCACGCUGCGGUGAAUACGUUCCCGGGCCUUGUA
Molecule: ribosomal RNA, 431 nt
Filed under: uncultured Alphaproteobacteria bacterium
Lineage: Bacteria; Pseudomonadati; Pseudomonadota; Alphaproteobacteria
Description: bacterial SSU rRNA
Rfam family: Bacterial small subunit ribosomal RNA
Source: RNAcentral